AACGAACGCUGGCGGCAUGCCUAACACAUGCAAGUCGAACGAGACCUUCGGGUCUAGUGGCGCACGGGUGCGUAACGCGUGGGAAUCUGCCCUUAGGUACGGAAUAACUCAGGGAAACUUGUGCUAAUACCGUAUGAUGUCGAGAGACCAAAGAUUUAUCGCCUAGGGAUGAGCCCGCGUAGGAUUAGCUAGUUGGUGGGGUAAAAGCCUACCAAGGCGACGAUCCUUAGCUGCUCUGAGAGGAUGAUCAGCCACACUGGGACUGAGACACGGCCCAGACUCCUACGGGAGGCAGCAGUGGGGAAUAUUGGACAAUGGGCGAAAGCCUGAUCCAGCAAUGCCGCGUGAGUGAAGAAGGCCUUCGGGUUGUAAAGCUCUUUUACCCGGGAAGAUAAUGACCGUACCGGGAGAAUAAGCCCCGGCUAACUCCGUGCCAGCCGCCGCAGUAA
This 449-nucleotide ribosomal RNA is filed under the name uncultured bacterium. RNAcentral's name for it is "partial 16S ribosomal RNA". It matches the Rfam family "Bacterial small subunit ribosomal RNA", at positions 29 to 523 of the family's 1533-position model. The record is from RNAcentral.